Long non-coding RNA from Wyeomyia smithii (pitcher-plant mosquito), 1617 nucleotides. RefSeq lists it as uncharacterized. The transcript is spliced from 3 exons. The record is from RefSeq and is a predicted model, not a curated record. Lineage: Eukaryota; Metazoa; Arthropoda; Insecta; Diptera; Culicidae.
UGAAUCUAGUAACCUAUUGGUAAUUGGUAGCUUUAGACGUUUCGUCAGUACAACCAACAGCAGUUGCAGUAAAUGUUUUAUGUGUACCGAUUUAAGUUACGAUUGCGCUAUUUGAAGUGGUUGCCGAUAUUCCCAACCUGGUUAUUUGAGCGGGUUUGUCAGCUAACCUCAUAACAAACAGACACUUGUAUUUGGUAGUGUGGAAACAAAAUUUAAUAGAAAUAAACUAUUGUCGAAAAUAAUAUACAAGCAAUAAGAAAACAAUUCUUGCAAGUUGGUACGCUGUCUACUUGUUUACUUGCAUGUGUCGUAAAUGAACAUUAAUCUUUUCAAAUUAUGAACAUUUGAACUUGACUGCCAGUUGCUUUGAUGUAUGCAUUGUUUGUUAUACUGAUCUCUGGAAGAAGGAACUAUAACACAACAGUGUACUCACUUUGACCAUUCGAAUGGAAACAAACAGAUACGACGCGUUUUGCGUUGUUACAGUGCAGGCAAGUUUGCUGUAUGUAUUUACCGUCGGUUGUUCAAAUAUUAUACGAGUAUUAAUGGUUUACAAUUCUUUGAGAUAAACUGAAAUUCAUUUCUUCGACACAGUGUUUGGAAAUUGUGGAGAUGGGAUAGUUAAAAGCCAGUUAACGAGAGGUGCAACCGCAUGUUGUUUUGUUGUUCUCCGAUUGGACUGAAAUUUUCAGCGUUUGGUUGUUUAUUCAAGGAGUACGACGGGAAUAACGAGCUUUGUACUAAUAGAGGAACUGACCGACCCUUCCAAUUUUGAACCCGACGUGCACGCACUUUCCCGAGGUUAGUGGUGCGAUCUUCGAUAUAUGAACUCACGAAAGCGCGCCAGGUGCCAACAUGUUUGAAACCUCAUCAUAUUUGCAGUGACGGGAUACAAGCGAAUCGUGGAGGUUAAGAAAUUUCGGUUACCUUACGUAUCGUACGACUCUACGCGUUUCUGCUCAUGAACACCUUAAUUUACCCAUUCACGAAUCAAUGAGUAGCUUUAUUUCGUAAGACGUUAAACUUUAUUCGGAAACUGUAAGCCGACCGCAAUUUUAGAGGAUAUAAGAUCUACAACGCGUUUUUCUCUUGUAAUAUAAUUUGGAAUGAGCUAAGUAUCCUAAUGAAUUCAAAAACUGGCAAAUUUACAUGCAUCCAAAGCCCUUAAAAUUCAAAAACAAAAAAUUGCAUCCAACAAGAUUUAAAAAUUAUUGAAUAAAAAAAAAAUUCAAGUGUAUCAACAUUUGUCCAAAAGCUAGGAAAAUCAUAAAAAUAAUAGGGUUAAAUAUGGUUAAAUGACCGUAACCGAUCAGAACUCUUCAUGACAGACGAAGCACUUAGAUAUUUGUCGCGUGUGAAUGAUAGAUGAUCAAACUCUAUUGUAAAACUAUCAAUUCGAUCUUGUGAAAGUUAGCGUGUUCAAAGAUUUAUAGUAGCAUAUGAAUAUAGUAAAACCUACGACACGCUGAACCGCAUCCGAGCCAAUCUCCGCUUUUCAACCACAUCAAGAAGUUCAAUUUACUACCCCAUGAAAACCAAAAAAAUCUGUAUUAUUUCCAGAAAAUCUGCAAUCUGCAUGCAGAUAUCUGUAUGAAAAAUACGCAAGAAAUCUGUAUA